This 484-nucleotide ribosomal RNA is filed under the name uncultured bacterium. RNAcentral's name for it is "partial 16S ribosomal RNA". It matches the Rfam family "Bacterial small subunit ribosomal RNA", at positions 29 to 507 of the family's 1533-position model. The record is from RNAcentral.
AUUGAACGCUGGCGGCAGGCCUAACACAUGCAAGUCGAGCGGCAGCAGGGGGCUUGCUCCUGGAUUCAGCGGCGGGCGGGUGAGUGAUGCCUAGGAAUCUGCCUGGUGGUGGGGGAUAACGUCCGGAAAAGGGCGCUAAUACCGCAUACGUGCUGAGGGAGAGAGAGGGGGGUCUUCGGACCUCACGCGAUCAGAUGAGCCGAGGUCGGAUUAGCUAGUUGGUGGGGUAAAGGCCUACCAAGGCGACGAUCCGUAGCUGGUCUGAGAGGACGAUCAGCCACACUGGAACUGAGACACGGUCCAGACUCCUACGGGAGGCAGCAGUGGGGAAUAUUGGACAAUGGGCGAAGGCCUGAUCCAGCCAUGCCGCGUGUGUGAAGAAGGUCUUCGGAUUGUAAAGCACUUUAAGUUGGGAGGAAGGGCAGGAAGUUAAUACCGUGCUGUUUUGACGUUACCAACAGAAUAAGCACCGGCUAACUUCGUG